Molecule: transfer RNA, 77 nt
Filed under: Acidobacteriota bacterium
Lineage: Bacteria; Pseudomonadati; Acidobacteriota
Also listed under: 1 other name
Description: Acidobacteria bacterium tRNA-Asp
Rfam family: tRNA
About the family: Transfer RNA (tRNA) molecules are approximately 80 nucleotides in length. Their secondary structure includes four short double-helical elements and three loops (D, anti-codon, and T loops).
Source: RNAcentral
GGGGCGGUAGUUCAGACGUGCAGAACGCCGGCCUGUCACGCCGGAGGUCGCGGGUUCAAGUCCCGUCCGCCCCGCCA